This 345-nucleotide long non-coding RNA is filed under the name Carica papaya (papaya). Its description in RNAcentral is "long non-coding RNA (CPAP_LNC009521)". Lineage: Eukaryota; Viridiplantae; Streptophyta; Magnoliopsida; Brassicales; Caricaceae. The record is from RNAcentral.
AGGGUUUCGACCGUGUUUUCCGGCUGUCUGGCCGGGAUUUUGGCUCCGAUUUGGCCACAGGGGAAAUCAACAUGGAAAAACGAGUCGGGGGUAUGAAAUUUACCUCGAUCAGCGGUCGAAAAUCUCCCCGGUGCGGCGGCGGGUGGCGGCGGCCGGCAUCUCCGGCGUCUGGUUCGUCUUCUCCGGCGAGGGCAAGCGGCUAGGGUUUUUGUGGUCAGGUGUGGGGGUUCUAUUUAUACCCUUUUGCCUUUUGAUCUCAGCCGUCCAUUUUGAUUUAAUCUGGGUCGUCCGUUUUUGAUUUAAUUUGGGUCGUCCGUUUUUGAUUGAAUCUGGGCCGUCCGUGCG